Molecule: ribosomal RNA, 497 nt
Filed under: uncultured bacterium
Lineage: Bacteria
Description: partial 16S ribosomal RNA
Rfam family: Bacterial small subunit ribosomal RNA
Source: RNAcentral
GAUGAACGCUGGCGGCGUGCCUAAUACAUGCAAGUCGAACGCAUAGCGAAAGGUGCUUGCACCUUUCAAGUGAGUGGCGAACGGGUGAGUAACACGUGGACAACCUGCCUCAAGGCUGGGGAUAACAUUUGGAAACAGAUGCUAAUACCGAAUAAAACUUAGUGUCGCAUGACACAAAGUUAAAAGGCGCUUCGGCGUCACCUAGAGAUGGAUCCGCGGUGCAUUAGUUAGUUGGUGGGGUAAAGGCCUACCAAGACAAUGAUGCAUAGCCGAGUUGAGAGCCUGAUCGGCCACAUUGGAACUGAGACACGGCCCAAACUCCUACGGGAGGCUGCAGUAGGGAAUCUUCCACAAAGGGCGAAAGCCUGAUGGAGCAACGCCGCGUGUGUGAUGAAGGCUUUCGGGUCGUAAAGCACUGUUGUAUGGGAAGAACAGCUAGAAUAGGAAAUGAUUUUAGUUUGACGGUACCAUACCAGAAAGGGCCGGCUAAAUACGUG